AACCUAGUCCAAGAACAAGACGAGCAAUGCAGAGGCGAAUGAACACGGAACCCGAAACAAGUUCCGAUGAAGACGAUGAGGAUGUCCCAAGCAAGCCAACAACGAGACAUGCAUCAAAUAGACAUCCAAUAUCUCCUGAUAAAAAUGAGCCUUCAACGCCCAUUAAAAAUGAGAGUGGAUCAAGUAGUGAUACUUGUAUGACUCCAGUCACCGUAUCCAACACGUGUCUGCUAGUAGCUGCAGCUGUUGGCCCACUCGCUCCAGGAUUCAAGUUUCCUCAGACAAAAAAGCCAUCACUAAAUAGUUGGACCAAGUCCCACGACUCAGCGGGUGGUGACGAGUCACCCCCUAAAAAUACUCCUCAAGGAAGCAAUGGAGUAACAGGGAACGGGAACGGGGCUGGAUUUGCCAAGAAGCGUUGGCUAAGACAAGCCAUCAGCGAAGAAUCGGAGACACCCGCAGGUGGCUCUGCCUUCAUAGAGCAAGCAGUCGGACCAUUAAAGAAACGAAGGCUGGCGAGAGAGUCUAUGUCAUCGGAGCAGUCAUUCACUCCGCCAACAACGCCAACUCAUGUUGGCAGCAAUUCUCUGCCUGGUUUUGAUGAAGAUUCUCGCAUGUCAGCUCAUGAGGAAAUGAACAUGGACCAGGGAGCGACCAGUUGUGACUCAGCGAUUAACGAAGACGGUGAUCUCAGUCCUGAGCUCAUCAAAAGGAAUCUAAGUCCGGAGCUGAUCCAAAGAAAUAAGAACCUGGAAGAAGUGAAACAGGAACUCUUCGAAGAUGAAGCUGAGGAAGACAAGGAGCACCCGAUCGCAUCCAGCCCUGAACUAAUUAAAAGAGAACCUGAGCCGGAGCCAAAAAUCGAAGUAGAAUCGGACAAGACGGAGAUGAAACUCAUAGACAGGGUGGAACAGGAGUUGUCCAAUCUUAUGGGCUUUACAGAUACUAAACCGUUGUUGUUCAGUCUUGAAACAAAGAAAGAAGAGCAGCCAGAAGAAGUAGAAACGCCUCCGCCACAAGAGGCAACACCUGCAGCCGUCAGAAAAAAGCUUUCAAUAUCUGAGUACCGACAAAGAAAAGGUGGCAAUGCGCCUGUGAAACAACCAAUGACUGAUAAGGACGAAGAAGAGUUAUCCGUUCCCCAUUCACCAUCCUCCUCGAGCUCGUCUCCGCCAACAUUCCCUGAUGUUGAAGAUGCUUCAGCGAUCAUUGCUAAAUCUCUAGAGCUCGAAUCCACUAUCGCUCAACAGCUGGACAGCAAAAAAGGUGGCAAAAGGUUUGUCGCAUCUUCAACCCUUGUGGAGAAGCAGAGAGAAAAUUUAACGGAAAGGCUGAAGCGUGAAUUUGGACUUGUUCUUGAUGAUGAUGAAGAGCAGGAGAAGAACAAGAGAAAAGUUUCGGAAGAUGACGAACAAGAUAAAACCAAAAAGAAAACUUUGAGCGAUCCACCGCCAGCUCUACCGAAACUGAAGGAGCCUAUCAUUUCAAUGUCUGUUCCAUCGAACUUCCCACCGGUUCCAACAACGAAGAAAACUAAACAUGGAUCGCAACCACCCCCUCCGCCGCCACCAUCGGAACCCCUCCCUUGUUUCAACCUUUCUAUUACCCUUACUCUCAUUUUCCCCCAAUGCCGAGACAUCCCCACUAGAGAACAAUCAAGUGGUGAUGCGGUCAUUGUACGUGUAGAGUUCAAGGUUCUAUCACCUCGACGUUUGUGUUUUCUCUGA
RNAcentral lists this long non-coding RNA (1727 nucleotides) under Bemisia tabaci. RNAcentral's name for it is "lncRNA ENSASIAIIG005346". The record is from RNAcentral. Lineage: Eukaryota; Metazoa; Arthropoda; Insecta; Hemiptera; Aleyrodidae.